AUGAUGGAGGGUGCUGUGGUAAGCGCUUCCAUGGGUGUGAUUGGCCCGCUCCUGGCGGAGAUCAGCAUCUUGUGUGCGCGCUUGCCCGAUGGCCGCCCAAAACGGGAGAUGGAGUUCUUCGAGGAGAAACUGAGGAGCAUCCAAGAGAUGGUGUCCUCCCUCCACGCCGUGAAGAUGUCGCACAUGGUGGAAGAGGACACGCUGCUGAAGAAGAUGUGGGCGAAGCAAGCGAGGGAGAUCGCCUACGACACGCAAGACUUGGUCGACCUCUUCACGCACGGCGACGGUGAUGGCGACAGCGCCGGGGUUAUGCCCAAAAAGACUGCUGGGCGUGUCAAGAUGCUAAAGAGGUUCAGAAGGCGCCCCAAGAAGCCCAUAUCAGAUCUUGAGAUGGUCAACAAGAUCCAAGAGCUUAAGGUUCGUAUGGCGGAAGUGAUUGAGCGGCACAAGAGGUUCAAGAUCGGCAUGGAGCCCAGCUUCCCCCCAGAACAAGACAUACCCAGUUGGCGCCCAGCUAUGUCCAUAGAUGCUCAUUUGUCGGCACUCUAUGCCGGGGGGGACGGACUUGUUGGUAUCGAUGGCCCCAGGGACGAGCUCACGGCUCUGCUCAUGGUCAUGGAUGACAAGCAACAAUUGAAGGUGGUCUCUGUUCUGGGUCCUGAAGGUAUAGGAAAGACUACACUUACCAAAGAGGUAUUUAACGAUAUUCAAGGAAAAUUUGAUUGCUCCGCUUUUGUGUCAAUGUCCCAAAACACAAGCAUUCAGGAGAUUCUUCAAGCUCUUGGAUCACAGCUCAGUGCCCAACAAGGUGCCAGCAUAGAGGCAUGCCAAGAGGAGCGACUCACGCAUAAGCUCAUACAAGUACUCAAGGCCAAGAGGUACUUUGUCGUGCUCGACGGUGUGUGGAGCACACGUGCAUGGAGAUUGAUCAGAUGUGCCUUGCCUGGAAAUAAUCUUGGCAGUCGAAUAUUGAUGACGACAUGCAUCGAUGACAUAGCUAUGUCAUGUUGCUCAACUGCUGCAGACUCGAUAUAUCGAAUGAAAUAUCUUCCGGAAGUAGAAGGAACAAGAUUAUUCAUGGAGAGAACAUUUGGCCUUGAAAAGCAGUGGCCUUAUUCCUUAGAAGAAAUUGGUACUGAAAUGCUGAGAAAAUGUGGUGGGUGGCCAAUCUUAAUCCUCACCAUAGCUAGUUUGCUGGCCAGCAAGUCAAGUUCAGAAGAGCAAUGGAAAGUGAUACAAGGUUUUAUUGAUUUAGCACUUGAGGGUCACCUCAAAAAGAAAGGUUUAGCACCUGAGGAGAGCCAGGCCCACAGUUGCGACAGUUUUCAAGGAGUGAAAAAUAUAUUGUACAUCUGUUAUAAUGACCUUCCCCAGCAGUUGAAGACAUGCUUACUGUAUCUAUGCUUGUAUCCGGAAGGCUAUAUCAUCAGCAGAAACAAAUUAGUAAGAAGAUGGAUAGGUGAAGGCUUCAUCGGCAUGAGAAGUGAACAUGACAACUUGGAAGAAGUAGGGCAGCGCUAUUUCAAUGAACUUAUUAACAGGGGGAUGGUCCAACCUGUGGGAAUCCAGUAUGAUGGUCGAGCUGAAGCCUGUCAAGUCCAUAAUUUGAUACUUAGUCUAAUUGAAUCCAUAUCUGCUGAAGAAAACUUUGGUAUGUUGGUUGAUGGAAAGGCUCAAGAAUUCCGCACAACAGACAAGGUCCGACGGUUAUCUCUCAACUACCAUGGUCAAAAACAUUUUCCAAUUCCAUCAACCAUAUCUGCUUCUCCCAUCCGCUCACUCACAGUUUUUGGGUCUGCUCAAAGUGCACCGAUCCUUUCAAAUAAUCAAGCGUUACGGGUGUUAGAUUUGGAUGUUCAGGGAGAUCCAUGUAAAAACUAUCUUGGAACUAUAGGGAGCCUUUUUCAGUUGAAGUAUUUGGGACUCCAAAUGAGUGGAGUUGUUGAGCUUCCUGAACAGAUAGGGGAACUGCAGUUUCUUGAGACUCUUGAUCUUACCAAGACUUCCAUCAGAAGGCUGCCAACAAGCAUUCUUGGCUUAUGGCGUUUGGUAUAUUUACUUGUCUGUAAUGUGGAAUUGCCAGAUGGAGUUGGCGACAUGCAGUCUCUGGAGGAGCUUUCAGGGAUUCAAGUUAACACCACCAACUCAACAAAUUCACUGUUGGGUGUGGGACAGUUGACUAAACUGAGGAUUGUCCAACUAAUAUGGUCCAUUUCCGAUGUGUGCGGUGAUAUUAAAGGAUAUGAGGAUAAUCUACUCUUGUCGCUGAAGGAACUAUCCAAGCUCCAAUCUCUAAGCAUCGAAAGCAAAUAUGGUUCUUCUCUCAGUUUCUUGGAUUCUUGGUCACCUCAUCCUCAGUCUCUUCAGAAACUCUAUUUGAGCGGAGGAUAUUAUUUCCCCAGAAUUCCAGAGAGGAUAAUCUCGCUUGUCAACCUUGAUUUCCUCGACAUCAGGGUUUAUCAAGUGGAAGAGGAAAUGAUGAAUGUUUUGGGAUCCCUGCCAGCUCUGUUAGUUCUCAGCAUAUCAUCGCAGGUUGCAGCCGCAGAACAAAGGAUAGUGGUUCAGCCCGGGUUGUUCCACUGUCUGACGAAAUUUACACUCACUUGCUUGAAUAGUUGGACAGGGUUGGUAACCGAACCAGAGGCUCUGCCGAAGCUAGCAAGGCUUGGGCUUCUGUGCUACGUGCAGGGACAGAGAGAUCCUGUGUUUGGUGAUUAUGGCAUCAAGUAUCUNNNNNNNNNNNNNNNNNNNNNNNNNNNNNNNNNNNNNNNNNNNNNNNNGAUUUGGGAGGUUGCCACAAGAUCCUCUAACAUUCCGCCGCCACAAGUUCAAAUAUCGGACGGACAUAAUAUGGUGGAGGAAGAGGAAAUCAUCGAAGCGGUGGAGUCCUUGUCUACACACAUUGAAGAAGAAUCUACUAUCUACAAAGAUGCUCAAAUGGACCCGCAACAUAUUGUGGGGGUGGAUGUGGAAAUGGAUUCCCAAUCUUCACAGAAAGGCACAGCAGAAGAGUAUAAAGCUGAGGCAGGGAGCGUCUCCACCUGUGAUGGCAUGUCUCCAAGAAUCCAUCCACACAAACUUGCAUCAGCGAGCUCUAAGCUAACUUUCCACAACCGUGAAAGCAUGGAGGUGGCUUUGGUGAGUGUGACAACUGGGGCCAUAAAACUCGUCCUAGAGAAGCUAACCGCCCUUCUCGGCGACGAGUACAAGCGUUUCAAGGGUGUGCGCAAGGAGAUCAAGUCCCUCACUAGCGAGCUCAUUGCCAUGGAGGCUUUACUCCUGAAGUUGUCAGAGGAGGAGGAUCCUGAUGUGCAAGAUAAAUUUUGGAUGAAUGAGUUGCGGGAGCUGUCCUAUGAUAUGGAGGAUGGCAUCGACGACUUCAUGCAAAGUGUCGAUGACAAUGACGUAAAGCCAGCUGGCUUUAUUGAGAAGAUCAAAACCUCACUAGGGAAGUUGGGAAAGAUGAAGGCUCAUCGUCGGAUUGGAAAAGAGAUCCAUGAUAUGAAGAAACAAAUCAUCAAUGUGGGUGAGUGGAAUGCAAGUUACAAGAGUGGUGAGACCUUCCCCAAGACCAUCAAUGCGACCAUUGACCCUAGAGCUCUUGCUAUCUUCGAGCAUGCAUCAAAACUCGUUGGAAUUGAUAAACCAAAGUCUGAGAUAAUCAAGUUGUUAACGGAAGAGGUUGCCCAUGCACCAGUGAAAGAACAACAACCGAAGAUAGUCUCCAUUGUUGGAUCUGGAGGUAUGGGAAAGACAACUCUUGCAAACCAAGUGUAUCAAAAUUUCAAAGGACAAUACGAGUGCAGGGCUUUCAUAUCGGUGUCACGAAAUGCAGACAUGAUCAAUAUCUUGAGAACCAUUCUCAGUCAACUGGCUAAAAAUAAUUAUGGUAGUACAGAUGUGGGGAGUAUACAACAACUCAUCAGCAAGAUCAAUGAUUUCCUAGCGGACAAAAGGUGCAUGCUAUCUUUAUCUUUUCUUUUCCCUUUUACUUGA
Molecule: ribosomal RNA, 3996 nt
Filed under: Triticum aestivum (bread wheat)
Lineage: Eukaryota; Viridiplantae; Streptophyta; Magnoliopsida; Poales; Poaceae
Description: partial small subunit ribosomal RNA
Source: RNAcentral